RNAcentral lists this long non-coding RNA (274 nucleotides) under Hordeum vulgare. RNAcentral describes it as "long non-coding RNA (HVUL_LNC003717)". The record is from RNAcentral. Lineage: Eukaryota; Viridiplantae; Streptophyta; Magnoliopsida; Poales; Poaceae.
AAAAUAUACUGCAACAAAAUAGUAUUUCUCAGAUAAAAAUACUCCGAAUCUCUCUUCAUAUUAAACAUCUCUCUGCAACUUACACUCUCUCGGAUAAUUAUUAAACUACAGGAUAAAAUGUAUACUUCCACAAAGCAACAGCAACUUGCUCCACAAAGCAACAGCAACUUGCACCAUGAAUCAACUUGGUUUCUCUGUGAAACUCCUAAGCUCAUCCUGACGAAGCAACAGCAACUUGGAGAAUAUAUAAACUUGCUCCACAAAGCUGAUCCUA